UACAGAGGGGGCAAGCGUUGUUCGGAAUUACUGGGCGUAAAGGGCGCGUAGGCGGCCUGUUAAGUCGAACGUGAAAUCCCCGGGCUCAACCCGGGAACUGCGUCCGAUACUGGCAGGCUUGAAUUCGGGAGAGGGAUGUGGAAUUCCAGGUGUAGCGGUGAAAUGCGUAGAUAUCUGGAGGAACACCGGUGGCGAAGGCGGCAUCCUGGACCGACACCGACGUUCAGGCACGAAAGCGUGGGGAGCAAACAGG
This 253-nucleotide ribosomal RNA is filed under the name uncultured bacterium. RNAcentral describes it as "partial 16S ribosomal RNA". It matches the Rfam family "Bacterial small subunit ribosomal RNA", at positions 524 to 776 of the family's 1533-position model. The record is from RNAcentral.